GCGCUCAAAGGAAGUGGGUUCGGCAGAAGGAGGUGGGUUAUGUUGUUCUCCAUUGCAAGUCAGCCUGUCCGUGAUCGCUUCAAAAAUAACGCUGAUGCCAAAAAGCUAUUGGAAAAAGUGAAGGAGCGUAGAUUGUAACAUUUUUAUGGUGGGAUACAUAUAUUCCAUCAUCAAUGGCACACCUAACGUAACGCACAGCUACCCCUCAAUCAGAAACCAUUCGUCAAUGCACACUAACUUUCCAAUCAAAUACAUGAGAGAAUCCCCCACUAUUGGCAUUCGAUCAGAUCUUCGCAUUGCUGUCACAUUGCAACCCAAACGGCAAAUCAACUACAGCCUGCAAUAUGAUGUACCAAGUAGUAUCCAAUGUAUCGUGUUGUAUGAAAUUUUCUAUAUUAUGUAUAUAUAGAUGAUUUGUGUGCAUAUUGUAUCAAAUGCACUAUCCAAUGUAUCAUGUUGUAUCAAAUUUAUCAGUGUAACUAGUAGAAAUGUAUCUAGUAGAAA
Long non-coding RNA from Asparagus officinalis (garden asparagus), 504 nucleotides. RefSeq lists it as uncharacterized. The record is from RefSeq and is a predicted model, not a curated record. Lineage: Eukaryota; Viridiplantae; Streptophyta; Magnoliopsida; Asparagales; Asparagaceae. The transcript is spliced from 3 exons.